Long non-coding RNA from Grammomys surdaster, 263 nucleotides. RefSeq lists it as uncharacterized. The record is from RefSeq and is a predicted model, not a curated record. The transcript is spliced from 3 exons. NCBI's taxonomy places the organism in Eukaryota, Metazoa, Chordata, Mammalia, Rodentia, Muridae.
GUCAGAGUCUAGGAAGGGACCUGUCUGCAAAAGCUGACGCAAAGACCCUGAAACCAGGUGAUCUAGCUGGAUUGAUAACUCAGCGGAAGCAAACAAGCAUCCACUCAAAAUGAAUUAUAUCAAGUAAGGAAAUCAGACCUCUCAUCUGGAAAGCAAUGGAGACCUCACACCGAGGCAACAUAGAUAUGGAACUCUGGACUGUCCUCUAGCACCGGGUCUACCUGCAAGCUGCCAUGUUUCCUGUUACAUGAUAGUGACCUAGA